GACCUCAAAUCAGGUAGGACUACCCGCUGAACUUAAGCAUAUCAAUAAGCGGAGGAAAAGAAACUAACAAGGAUUCCCCUAGUAACUGCGAGUGAAGCGGGAAAAGCUCAAAUUUAAAAUCUGGCAGUCUUUUGGCUGUCCGAGUUGUAAUCUAGAGAAGUGCUAUCCGCGCUGGACCGUGUACAAGUCUCCUGGAAUGGAGCAUCAUAGAGGGUGAGAAUCCCGUCUUUGACAUGGACUGCCAGGGCUUUUGUGAUGCGCUCUCAAAGAGUCGAGUUGUUUGGGAAUGCAGCUCAAAAUGGGUGGUAAAUUCCAUCUAAAGCUAAAUAUUGGCGAGAGACCGAUAGCGAACAAGUACCGUGAGGGAAAGAUGAAAAGAACUUUGGAAAGAGAGUUAAACAGUACGUGAAAUUGCUGAAAGGGAAACGCUUGAAGUCAGUCGCGUCGUCCAGGGAUCAACCUCGCUUUUGCUUGGUGCACUUUCUGGUUCGAUGGGUCAGCAUCAAUUUUGACCAUUGGAAAAAGAUCAGGGGAACCGUGGCAUCUCUGGAUGUGUUUAUAGCCCUUGGUCACAUACAAUGGUUCGGGAUUGAGGAACUCAGCACGCCGCAAGGCCGGGUUUAAACCACG
Molecule: ribosomal RNA, 630 nt
Filed under: Cortinarius bibulus
Lineage: Eukaryota; Fungi; Basidiomycota; Agaricomycetes; Agaricales; Cortinariaceae
Description: eukaryotic LSU rRNA
Rfam family: Eukaryotic large subunit ribosomal RNA
Source: RNAcentral